AAAGUCGUAACAAGGUUUCCGUAGGUGAACCUGCGGAAGGAUCAUUAAAGAGUUUUAAGGAGUGAGUUGGUGAGGCAAUUAUUAGCUGAUUAGUUGGCUGGGUUUAUAUCCAUGCCUAGGUACUAUGAAUGCUUUUAAUGUAACCACCACCACGACCUAUGCGUAUGUUGUGUUUGACUGUGUAAUAAGUGACUAAGAGACAGAGAUAACUUUUAACAAUGGAUCUCUUGGCUCUC
RNAcentral lists this unclassified non-coding RNA (236 nucleotides) under Basidiomycota sp. RNAcentral's name for it is "partial contains small subunit ribosomal RNA, internal transcribed spacer 1, and 5.8S ribosomal RNA". The stretch from base 1 to 47 matches the Rfam family "Eukaryotic small subunit ribosomal RNA", at positions 1785 to 1831 of the family's 1831-position model. Lineage: Eukaryota; Fungi; Basidiomycota. The record is from RNAcentral.